GACGAACGCUGGCGGCGUGCUUAACACAUGCAAGUCGAGCGGAAAGGCCACUUCGGUGGUACUCGAGCGGCGAACGGGUGAGUAACACGUGAGUAAUCUGCCCCUGGCUUUGGGAUAGCCACCGGAAACGGUGAUUAAUACCGGAUAUGACACAUUCUCGCAUGAGUUUGUGUGGAAAGUUUUUCGGCCAGGGAUGUGCUCGCGGCCUAUCAGCUUGAUGGUGAGGUAAUGGCUCACCAUGGCUUCGACGGGUAGCCGGCCUGAGAGGGUGACCGGUCACACGGGGAAUGAGACACGGCCCAGACCCCUACGGGAGGAAGCAGUGGGGAAUAUUGGAAAAGGGGCGGAAGCCUGAUCCAGAACCCCCGGGGGGGGGAUGAGGGCUUUCGGGUUGUAAACCUCUUUCAGUACCGACGAAGCGCAAGGGACGGUAGGAACAGAAGAAGCCCCGGCCAACUACG
This 461-nucleotide ribosomal RNA is filed under the name uncultured bacterium. Its description in RNAcentral is "partial 16S ribosomal RNA". It matches the Rfam family "Bacterial small subunit ribosomal RNA", at positions 28 to 505 of the family's 1533-position model. The record is from RNAcentral.